GAGGGUAUAGCUUAGUGGUAGAGUGCGUGCCUCGCAGGCACAAGGCCCUAGGUUUCAUCCCCAGCACCUCCA
Molecule: transfer RNA, 72 nt
Filed under: Camelus bactrianus (Bactrian camel)
Lineage: Eukaryota; Metazoa; Chordata; Mammalia; Artiodactyla; Camelidae
Also listed under: 2 other names
Rfam family: tRNA
About the family: Transfer RNA (tRNA) molecules are approximately 80 nucleotides in length. Their secondary structure includes four short double-helical elements and three loops (D, anti-codon, and T loops). Further hydrogen bonds mediate the characteristic L-shaped molecular structure. tRNAs have two regions of fundamental functional importance: the anti-codon, which is responsible for specific mRNA codon recognition, and the 3' end, to which the tRNAs corresponding amino acid is attached (by aminoacyl-tRNA synthetases). tRNAs cope with the degeneracy of the genetic code in two manners: having more than one tRNA (with a specific anti-codon) for a particular amino acid; and 'wobble' base-pairing, i.e. permitting non-standard base-pairing at the 3rd anti-codon position.
Source: Rfam by way of RNAcentral